GACGAACGCUGGCGGCGUGCCUAAUACAUGCAAGUAGAACGCUGAAGAGAGGAGCUUGCUCUUCUUGGAUGAGUUGCGAACGGGUGAGUAACGCGUAGGUAACCUGCCUUGUAGCGGGGGAUAACUAUUGGAAACGAUAGCUAAUACCGCAUAACAAUGGAUGACACAUGUCAUUUAUUUGAAAGGGGCAAUUGCUCCACUACAAGAUGGACCUGCGUUGUAUUAGCUAGUAGGUGAGGUAAUGGCUCACCUAGGCGACGGUACAUAGCCGACCUGAGAGGGGGAUCGGCCACACUGGGACUGAGACACGGCCCAGACUCCUACGGGAGGCAGCAGUAGGGAAUCUUCGGCAAUGGGGGCAACCCUGACCGAGCAACGCCGCGUGAGUGAAGAAGGUUUUCGGAUCGUAAAGCUCUGUUGUAAGUCAAGAACGGGUGUGAGAGUGGAAAGUUCACACUGUGACGGUAGCUUACCAGAAAGGGACGGCUAACUACGUG
Molecule: ribosomal RNA, 497 nt
Filed under: uncultured bacterium
Lineage: Bacteria
Description: partial 16S ribosomal RNA
Rfam family: Bacterial small subunit ribosomal RNA
Source: RNAcentral